AGAGUUUGAUCCUGGCUCAGAGCGAACGCUGGCGGCAGGCCUAACACAUGCAAGUCGAACGGACCCUUCGGGGUUAGUGGCGGACGGGUGAGUAACACGUGGGAACGUGCCUUUAGGUUCGGAAUAGCUCCUGGAAACGGGUGGUAAUGCCGAAUGUGCCCUUCGGGGGAAAGAUUUAUCGCCUUUAGAGCGGCCCGCGUCUGAUUAGCUAGUUGGUGAGGUAAUGGCUCACCAAGGCGACGAUCAGUAGCUGGUCUGAGAGGAUGACCAGCCACAUUGGGACUGAGACACGGCCCAAACUCCUACGGGAGGCAGCAGUGGGGAAUCUUGCGCAAUGGGCGAAAGCCUGACGCAGCCAUGCCGCGUGAAUGAUGAAGGUCUUAGGAUUGUAAAAUUCUUUCACCGGGGACGAUAAUGACGGUACCCGGAGAAGAAGCCCCGGCUAACUUCGUGCCAGCAGCCGCGGUAAUACGAAGGGGGCUAGCGUUGCUCGGAAUUACUGGGCGUAAAGGGCGCGUAGGCGGACAUUUAAGUCAGGGGUGAAAUCCCAGAGCUCAACUCUGGAACUGCCUUUGAUACUGGGUGUCUUGAGUGUGAGAGAGGUAUGUGGAACUCCGAGUGUAGAGGUGAAAUUCGUAGAUAUUCGGAAGAACACCAGUGGCGAAGGCGACAUACUGGCUCAUUACUGACGCUGAGGCGCGAAAGCGUGGGGAGCAAACAGGAUUAGAUACCCUGGUAGUCCACGCCGUA
RNAcentral lists this ribosomal RNA (750 nucleotides) under Brevundimonas sp. enrichment culture clone CB1-8 4b2. RNAcentral describes it as "bacterial SSU rRNA". It matches the Rfam family "Bacterial small subunit ribosomal RNA", at positions 8 to 804 of the family's 1533-position model. Lineage: Bacteria; Pseudomonadati; Pseudomonadota; Alphaproteobacteria; Caulobacterales; Caulobacteraceae. The record is from RNAcentral.